This is a long non-coding RNA of Numida meleagris (helmeted guineafowl), 4531 nucleotides long. RefSeq lists it as uncharacterized. Lineage: Eukaryota; Metazoa; Chordata; Aves; Galliformes; Numididae. The record is from RefSeq and is a predicted model, not a curated record. The transcript is spliced from 3 exons.
CUAUUCUACACCAGUAAUGUAUUUCUUUUAAUUGUCCUUUUUUUUUUUUUUCUUAAAUCUCAAGCUGAGAUAACAGCGUCUUUAAAAUAAAUUCAGAUAGAAACAAUGUUGCAGAGCUGUCAGGAUAGAAUUAAUCUUUAUGUCUCCUACUAUUUUAUUUGUCAUCUCUUCUGCAAUUGACAGAUAUAGCAAGGACCUAAAGAGCAGCAUUUCAAAGUAUAAAAGACAACAAGAUAUAAGACACUAAAAUACUCUAGCCACCCAAAAGAAAGGUGCCAACAUGUACUUAAAGUUCACAGUACCUAAGGUUGUAGAUGUCAUCUCUCAAUUGUGAUUCACAUACUUCCAGCUGUGCAGGAUCUUUUGCAUGAUUACUGCUUUCACCUCUCUCCCAUUUCCUGCAAAGGCUGGGUUCACACUGUAUAAAAACUGUAGUGUUAAACAGCGACUAAGAACAUUUUCUGAACUACCAAACAGACAGCCUUUAACAAUAGGAGCAGCACAAUAAGUUGUGUGACAUCCGAAACUGUGAUUAUAGAUUGACAAAUCUUCUGAAGUAGGAGCCUGGAUGCCAUAUGCCAUACUUGAGGCUGCAUAUCAUUACAUGUACCAUGAGAAGAAACAUGAGGUGGAGGCCCAGCAAACCUCCUUAAUUUGAGUCUUGACAAAUCUGCAAACUGUAUGAACACAGCUAGACAUUCAGCUACCUCUUCCUCUUGUUAAAUCUCUCUGAGUUUAGAAUGAUAUACUUCUGCUAUGUAUUUUCUCUAUUUACAUCAAAUUGAUGCUCAAUGCUGAGAAACUAGAGAAGUCUCACUCUUACACCUACGCUUACAGUGUUGGCAUAAUUGUGUCUUUCAGAAAACUACUCCUAUUGCAUUUGAGUGAAUAUAUAGAAGCUUCAGAGUAUCAUUUAUGAAUGCUGAGCCCCUUUUUAACUCUGCUUAUGGUCUUCUAAAUUAAUUUGUUUCUAUAUCUGGAAACCUCUGGAGAAAUUAUUCUGACUAAGUAUUGUUUUAUUGUAAAAUUGUAGUCCUUCUGGAGCACAAAAAACAACUUGAACCAGUUAAAGCUUGCAUUAAUGUGACCUUAUUAAUUACAGGACACUCAUUUAGUAUUGAAGGUAUUAUCAUUCAUAUUUCAGAUGUUCUUUGAUAUGAAGUAGACCUUGUUGUUUCUUUACAUUAUAAUGAAUAAUUGCUACUAUGUUUGUCUAUAUGUUUUAUUUUAUUUGUCUAUAUUUUAUGAUAAAACUCACCCUUGGGAAUGAGCAAAUAAUUUCUCUUGGGAACAUCAAAGAUAGAUGGGACCCAGUUCUUCUUUUCUGAGGUAACCUGAACUUCCUUGUUUAGCAAAAUCAGAGUACAAAGCAUGUAGGACUGGAACUAAGAAGCACUUAGCAGUGAAAUAACCACCAAAAAUUGAGGUCAGUUCCAGUGUUGUUGUUUUUUUUUUGUCUAAGUGAGUGUAUUUAGCACUGAUUUUCCUGUAAGAUUUCACGCAUAUUGCUUGGAGGAUGCGUAAAAACAAUUUCUCUACAUGCCAUGUAGAAUUCUCUCUAAUGUGACUCAUUAGUCUACUGUACCAAGCAAUGAUAGCUCAACCAGGUUGAUAUUUUUAAAGCUAAUGAGCCACUGAUUAGUAUCUGACUGACUGAAGCUAACAAGAUAUGCUCUCUUCCAGUGAUUUAUAGUGAUGAAUUAAUUAACUUGAUCCAAAAUUCCAUCUCCGGUGCAAUAUAUGGCUUUCCUUUGAGCUUCAUAACACUGUCUGCUGAAUCUAUGGACUGAAUAUGAAGCUUUACUAAUGAAUCACAGAAUGGUUGAGACUGGAAGGGACCUCUGGAGAUCAUUUUGUCCGACGUUCCUACUAGCAGGACCAGCCACAGCAAGUUGCCCAUGACCAUGUCCAGGUGGCUUUUGAAGAUGUCCCCGGAGUGAGAUCUCCACAACCUCUUUGGGAGCCUGUACCAGUGCUCCAUCAAUUGCACAAAAAAAAACCAACAAGUGUUUUCUGAUGUUCAGGCGGAACAUCUUGUGUUCCAGUUUGUGUCCAUUGCUCCUUGUCUUGCUUUGCUUCCUCAUGUGACCUUUGAUUUUCUUACUAAACUGUCUUUAUCUUGACCCACCACAAGGUUUUCCAUCUUAUUUCUGGCUCCAAUACUGCUGAGGAGGAGUGAGGGGGAGGCAAGGUGGAUGUCUGGCAGACAGCCAAGGUCAACCAUUCACACUUGGAAAUAGUUUCCUGAAGAUAACUAACUUUCAGACUUUUCAAAGUCUGCCAAAAACAUGAAUUGAGUGGAUUUACCUUUUUUAAUUGUACGUAUAAAUGUAGAAUACCAACUUCCAAAUAAAAGAAUGCUAAACUAAAAUUAGUGAGUUACAAACCAGUUGACAUAAGGAGUAAAAUUUGAUUUUGCAUAAAUUUAAAAUAGACAUUUUCACUGGAGAUUUCAAUAGAUACAUCUGAUCAAAGCUGAAGAUUAAAAUAUAAUUAAAAAAGCUGGAUUUUGAUCACAUCAUGCUUCAGUAAAAGUGAAGAAUUUCAUCAGAAUGUCAUUGGAUUUAUGCGGAAGUAUAAGCUUGAUCGUAUAAAGAGAUAGAAAAGCACUGAAUGAGAAUGGAUUUGUGAUCUGUACAAAUGUCAAGUUAAUUUUAAAACCAAUCUGGGAUAAAUUUGUCUCAAAACUAAUAGGAUUACAGAAAGAAUCAUUAUGGAUGUCUGUGCCUUGAAUUAAGGUACCACAGCAGAUUUUAUUUGAAAAUUUUCGAUGAAAAAGAAAAGCAAGGAAGUCACUCUUGUAUUCAUUCUUUAAAGGAAUGAAAAGAGAAAUCUACAUAGACAAAAUAUGGGCCUUUUUUCUUUUUCUAAUAAUUGAAAUAAAUUUCUUUUCUUUCUGAAAUUCUUUCAGCUUUGAGGAGUCUGCACAUCUUUAAAGUACAGUGAAAUGAUUAUAGACAUGAGGCUUGCUUUUCUUUUGUUCCUGUAUUAUAACACUGGAGACAAUGUAAGCCAAAAAGUGUCCUUCAACGGUGAAUCAGCUAGUCAAUGUCUUAGAUAUGAAAAAAAGAGUAUGCUGAUUGUAAGACAUAGCAGUCUUUGCAUAAGACUGCUGAAGAGCUGUCAAUCCUGUUCCUUCAAAAAACAGCAACAAAAAUUCAACAAGAAAACAAAUAAAAAUCCUGACUCCACCUCUACCCUGCUCCUGUUUUCUUUUUUUAAAUUUUCUAUUUUUUAAAAAAGGAGCAGCAACUGUAUAUAUUAAAGUAUAAGCCAGGAGAUAACCUAACUAUCUUCCAUUAAAAUGGUCAUUUUAAAAAAUGUUAUAAUGUGUCAUUAUCAUAAAUAAAACACAAACACUAUGAAAAAUCUGAAAGAAACAACCUCUGGAAAAUUAAAAUAUAUACAGCUGAUUGAAAUACUGAGCACACUUUAUGUGGGGGAGAGACGUGUUUGCUUUUCAAUAGACUGAAUAUUAUUAUGUGGUACUUCAAAAGGUAGUGCUUGCAAGGCUGCCUACAAUGCAUUUAUUAACUACCAAGAUUUUACAGUCAGGCAAAAUUAUUUCGGCAGCCUUUGUGCUGCUGCCUCUCAUGCCUUGGGGCAGUGCAGUCAGGGGGAAUGGAUAAGUUUUCCUGACCAGUGUCUAAUGUAUUCAGUUCUCCUAAAAGACCAAAGAUGGCAUAAAUUACAGAGUAAACAUUUCACUGCAGUUAGGAACGUGGAAACAAAAAGGACUUCUAGUGUGUUCCUCUGAUGUUGCAGGUGUUACUACAGAUACACUUAGAAACUACAAACUGAUAAACUUCUAGAAUAUUUUGUCCUGUUGCCUUUGGGCUAGAAGUCCUUAUUUUUCAUAAACAGCUAAGUACCUUUCUGCAACAAUUUUGAACUAACGUGUCAAGUUGAGAUGUUAUAUGAAUCCCUAGUGCAAUAACACACUGUUUCUAUUGCAUGUCACCCUUUAGAUGGGAUAGUUUAAAUACAGUUAUUUUUUUUCCACAAGGUUUGAAACAAAACAGUCAAAUCCUCAAGAAAUAUUGAAAAAGCUGAGAAUCUGAAAAUUACUAGUCUGACCUCUAAGCUGAUCAUUUCAGUCUCCAUUAUCUCAUCAAUAUUGUAUAGAGCCACACAAAACUCAAUAUAACUGCUUUUCCCAGACUCAGCUGUAUUAUUUUAUGCUGUUGUUUUAUCCUUUGUUUCUGCACUGCUUUGCAAAUGAAAGAAUCAGAAACUUCAUGUUCUGUCACAACCACAACUUGUAUCUUUUCCAUUCUCCUCCCCUAAACACUCAGCAAAUGUAAUUUUCAUUUCAAGCUCUAGUUGUGUUUUGAUUUUUCAAAGACUUAAAGCACGUUAUCUUGAAAGUGUGACAUAUUUUCAUCUUCCUUAAAUAUGUUGAAUAAGUGUUUCACCAAAUUCUUGUUUGUCAAGGUGAUUUCUAAUGUGAUGUCAAGAUGGUGAUGUGUGCCCCAAAGUACCACUCAUCAAAUCUUUUUUCCUCCUUUUCCUUUUCCUUUUCCUUUUCCUU